RNAcentral lists this ribosomal RNA (323 nucleotides) under uncultured bacterium. RNAcentral's name for it is "bacterial SSU rRNA". It matches the Rfam family "Bacterial small subunit ribosomal RNA", at positions 28 to 334 of the family's 1533-position model. The record is from RNAcentral.
GAUGAACGCUGGCGGCGUGCUUAACACAUGCAAGUCGAGCGAAGCGCUUAAGUUUGAUUCUUCGGAUGAAGACUUUUGUGACUGAGCGGCGACGGGUGAGUAACGCGUGGGUAACCUGCCUCAUACAGGGGGAUAACAGUUAGAAAUGACUGCUAAUACCGCAUAAGACCACAGGGUCGCAUGACCCGGUGGUAAAAACUCCGGUGGUAUGAGAUGGACCCGCGUCUGAUUAGCUGGUUGGUGGGGUAACGGCCCACCAAGGCGACGAUCAGUAGCCGGCCUGAGAGGGUGAACGGCCACAUUGGGACUGAGACACGGCCCAA